UACGGAAGGCAGCAGUGGGGAAUAUUGCACAAUGGGCGAAAGCCUGAUGCAGCUAUGCCGCGUGUAUGAAGAAGGCCUUAGGGUUGUAAAGUACUUUCAUCGGGGAGGAAAAACAAAACUAAUAAUUUUAUUUCUUGACGUUACCCGAAAAAGAAGCACCGGCUAACUCCGUGCCAGCAGCCGCGGUAAUACGGAGGGUGCUAGCGUUAAUCAGAAUUACUGGGCGUAAAGAGCACGUAGGUGGUUUUUUUAAGUCAGAUGUGAAAUCCCUGGGCUUAACCUGGAACUGCAUUUUGAAACUGAAAUACUAGAGUAUCGUAGAGGGAGGUAGAAUUCUAGGUGUAGCGGUGAAAUGCGUAGAUAUCUGGAGGAAUACCUGUGCGAAAGCGGCCUCCUAAACGAAUACUGACACUGAGGUGCGAAAGCGUGGGGAGCAAACAGGGAUUAGAUACCCGU
RNAcentral lists this ribosomal RNA (456 nucleotides) under uncultured bacterium. RNAcentral's name for it is "bacterial SSU rRNA". It matches the Rfam family "Bacterial small subunit ribosomal RNA", at positions 340 to 789 of the family's 1533-position model. The record is from RNAcentral.